GUAGGUGGCAAGCGUUGUCCGGAAUUAUUGGGCGUAAAGCGCGCGCAGGCGGUUCUUUAAGUCUGAUGUGAAAGCCCACGGCUCAACCGUGGAGGGUCAUUGGAAACUGGAGAACUUGAGUACAGAAGAGGAAAGCGGAAUUCCACGUGUAGCGGUGAAAUGCGUAGAGAUGUGGAGGAACACCAGUGGCGGAGGCGGCUUUCUGGUCUGUAACUGACGCUGAGGCGCGAAAGCGUGGGGAGCAAACAGGGAUUAGAUACCCUGGUAGUCCACGCCGUAAACGAUGAGUGCUAAGUGUUAGGGGGUUUCCGCCCCCUUAGUGCUGCAGCUAACGCAUUAAGCACUCCGCCUGGGGAGUACGGCCGCAAGGCUG
This 373-nucleotide ribosomal RNA is filed under the name uncultured organism. RNAcentral describes it as "partial 16S ribosomal RNA". It matches the Rfam family "Bacterial small subunit ribosomal RNA", at positions 527 to 896 of the family's 1533-position model. The record is from RNAcentral.